CAGACUUUUUUCUGAUAUUCUGUUAUUUUUGUGUGCUCCAUAUUACCACUGACUUCUCAGAAGUGUCUAUAGUCUUUUUAAAUAGAUUAAAUGAUGUUAGCCAAUGCCAAUUUCAUUCGUCUGAGCUAUUUUUCAGCAGACCAUUUAUUGUACAUGGAUUGCGCAGCUUGAUCGAAAGAGUGAUUCGGAUCAAAUACUGCCUCCCAUACUUUUCAGCCAUCCUUGCAGAGGAGUUCCGCAGUCUUCUUUUAAGCCUGAAGUGGUCUGGUGCAAUGAGGUUGAUGUAAAAGAAGGUUUGCGUCACACACCCUGAGACUACAUCCACUGUCAACAGUGUCAGCAUCUGGAGGAUUUUCAUUUUUUUGCCUCCUCUGUCUUCGGAGAUGGUGGCACCAGGGCGUCGGAGUCAUUUUGUCACUUUACAACGCUGACAGAGAGUCCGUAUCCAUCUGAUCCAUCAUGACAGAUAUUUUUCUUCAUGAUGCAGCAUUUGCCGAGGGAGAGAGCCUGAUACUCAGACGAGCACAGCAUAAAUAUAAAUCAAGAUCCAGGACUCAAGUUUCAUACACAAUUAGAGGUAUGUAUAAGGUUCAUGAAAAACACAAAUUUGCCUAAUUCUGAGGUGGGUAAAAUUAUGAGUAUAGGAAUGAGAGUACCAAUGCACCGGAUGUUGACAUCAGAGAAGUGUUAAUACAAGAUUGAGCCACGCAGAAAAAGGUAUGGCUAAGGUGAUUGGCUGAAUUAGUUGCUGAAAUAAUGAUUAUUUCAAAGUAAAUUUAUCACUGUUUAAAAUGAAUGAUGGAUUGAAGAAGUACUGCAAAAAGUGAAGAAAUAAGAGGGGUUGAAAUAGGGGGUGGGUGUCAAUUUUGGGACUUGGAUUUAUUUGCUGCGGAUCGCUGUAAGUUGUAAACAAGCUCAAUUUUGACCUAUAAACGCCACGGGACCCAAUGUAUUUCUAUUGAUUUUGUGUUAGUGCUUGGAAUGAACUUUCAAAUGUGACCAAGGAUAUGUCUGUAAGUAUAAUAGCAAACUAGCCAGGUGGGUUUAGGUUAACAUUGAGCCCUAUGGGAAAUGAAUUGGUACUCUUUUCCCUUCAUACACACACACUCACACGCUAAUAUGCACAUUUCGAUCCCGAUCACAAAAGGUCCAAGUUUCGUUUCCAGAUCCCGAUCUUAACGAUUGGAAAAACUGCUCCGCUGUUCCUCAUGACAAUGUUUGACUUUAUCUGACACCUUGUCCAAGAUGUCGAAUCGAUGCCUCUUCCCACCGUGGUCCUCCGCGAAUACUUUGCCGUUAUAGUACCACGCGCCUUUGAUCCGCUCGUCCAGAUUUAGAGUUUUGAUGAGUUGCGCGUUCAUCUGAGUCAGGUGGUCGUGCAUCACAAAGCGCUUCUUAAUUUCAUCUUUGGAACGAUUUUUUAUCACUUUAAUUUUUGUGUCUGUGUCGCGGAACUUCGCAAUGACGGGGCGCGGUCCUCCUCUGUUUCCUCCCGGUACUCUAUGUAUGGCUAAUACGUCGGACGCGUCCAGAUCUAUGUUGACCGUCUCCUUCAGAAUUCUACAGAGAUCGGAACGGAGGUUCUCAUGUUCGCUCUCCUGCCAAUUAGUAAAUUUAAUAUUGCUUUUCUGCGAAUAUUGUUGGUUGUUGUUGGCUAGGACAACUGCAGCGUCGGCUACGUGUUGACAUUCCUUUAAGUUUUGUUUUAGCUCUCUGAGUUCCUUUGCCUGUGUAGAAAAUUUUUCUCGCAGAGUUUCAAAUUCAAGUUGAAAGCCGUCGGAUAUUUCUUUCGUUUGAUGUUCAAAUUCUUUUGUUUUAGUGUCUAUUUUGUCAUUAAACUCUGUUUUUAUUUUGUCUGUCACACUCUGU
Long non-coding RNA from Magallana angulata, 1869 nucleotides. RefSeq lists it as uncharacterized. The transcript is spliced from 3 exons. The record is from RefSeq and is a predicted model, not a curated record. NCBI's taxonomy places the organism in Eukaryota, Metazoa, Mollusca, Bivalvia, Ostreida, Ostreidae.